This 73-nucleotide transfer RNA is filed under the name Metschnikowia bicuspidata var. bicuspidata NRRL YB-4993. It matches the Rfam family "tRNA". Rfam says of the family: Transfer RNA (tRNA) molecules are approximately 80 nucleotides in length. Their secondary structure includes four short double-helical elements and three loops (D, anti-codon, and T loops). Further hydrogen bonds mediate the characteristic L-shaped molecular structure. tRNAs have two regions of fundamental functional importance: the anti-codon, which is responsible for specific mRNA codon recognition, and the 3' end, to which the tRNAs corresponding amino acid is attached (by aminoacyl-tRNA synthetases). tRNAs cope with the degeneracy of the genetic code in two manners: having more than one tRNA (with a specific anti-codon) for a particular amino acid; and 'wobble' base-pairing, i.e. permitting non-standard base-pairing at the 3rd anti-codon position. The record is from Rfam by way of RNAcentral. Lineage: Eukaryota; Fungi; Ascomycota; Pichiomycetes; Serinales; Metschnikowiaceae.
GGGCGUGUGGCGCAGUUGGUAGCGCGUCUGCUUUGCAUGCAGAAGGCCAUCGGUUCAAAUCCGGUCUCGUCCA